CAUGCAGAGGUCAUUUGCUCAGGGUUAUAAAGCAAUCCUGUUUCAGGGUAACAACCUAAUAAUGGGGAAGUCACCAGCCCUUCCAGUUUCGGAUCUUCUAAUCAAGGUGAAACCAGAAACUGCCAGAGUGACUCGAAUGGAGGUCUAGGAUGACCUGAGUUUGAUGCCCAAGCCCUGCAAAGUAGGAGUGGACUUUCUCCGGUGGAUUGGCCCCUGACCUUUUCCACUUGUGCUGUGGAACUCAUAUACACAUACCUACAGUUACUCGAUUUCCCAGGCUGCCUGGAGCUCUCAGCCAUUCUCCUGUGUCAGCCUCUUGAGUCCUGGGAUUACAGACACGAGCCAUUGUCCGCCACCAUUUACUCUUUACUCCAUACUGUCGGGUUUCUCAGACCCUCACCGGGGCAUCUCUUACUGUCCUCCAGGCUGGGACUGUGUGAGGUAGUGCUCAGCAAGGUAUUAAUUAGCCUUUUGUCUCAUCAUUUUCCUCUGCUCAUAGAGCUAACCUCCUAUCAGGCAGGGCUAUAUGAGAAGCAGAAAGUCUGUAUAUUGCCUGGUGUUCUGAUGAUCAUAUCUGUAUCCUCUGGAAAGAAGUCUCUCCACCCCACUUCCUCUUUUUUUGUGUUUAAGACCAGGGCUCACUAUGUAACCUUGGUUAUCCUAGAACACACUAUGUAGACCACAGUGGCCGUGAACGCAGAGAUCCACCUGCCCCUGCCACCUGAGUGCUGGGAUUAAACGCGUGCACCACCAUGCUCCGCUUAGAGGAAACUUUCUCAAUAAAGAAUUGUUUGUGCG
Molecule: long non-coding RNA, 798 nt
Organism: Rattus norvegicus (Norway rat)
Lineage: Eukaryota; Metazoa; Chordata; Mammalia; Rodentia; Muridae
Source: Ensembl